This 254-nucleotide ribosomal RNA is filed under the name uncultured bacterium. RNAcentral's name for it is "partial 16S ribosomal RNA". It matches the Rfam family "Bacterial small subunit ribosomal RNA", at positions 524 to 776 of the family's 1533-position model. The record is from RNAcentral.
UACGUAGGGGGCGAGCGUUGUCCGGAUUUAUUGGGCGUAAAGAGCUCGUAGGCGGUUCAACAAGUCGGUCGUAAAAGUUCAGGGCUCAACCCUGAAAUGUCGAUCGAUACUGUUGUGACUAGGAUACGGUAGAGGUGAAUGGAAUUCCGAGUGUAGCGGUGAAAUGCAUAGAUAUUACACAGAAUACCGAUUGCGAAAGCAGAUUGCUAACAAUAUACUGACGCUGAGGAGCGAAAGCUAGGGGAGCAAACAGG